AGAACGAACGCUGGCGGCAUGCCUAAUACAUGCAAGUCGAACGAAGGCUUCGGCCUUAGUGGCGCACGGGUGCGUAACGCGUGGGAAUCUGCCCCUUGGUUCGGAAUAACAGUUGGAAACGACUGCUAAUACCGGAUGAUGACGAAAGUCCAAAGAUUUAUCGCCAAGGGAUGAGCCCGCGUAGGAUUAGCUAGUUGGUGAGGUAAAGGCUCACCAAGGCGACGAUCCUUAGCUGGUCUGAGAGGAUGAUCAGCCACACUGGGACUGAGACACGGCCCAGACUCCUACGGGAGGCAGCAGUAGGGAAUAUUGGACAAUGGGCGAAAGCCUGAUCCAGCAAUGCCGCGUGAGUGAUGAAGGCCUUAGGGUUGUAAAGCUCUUUUACCCGAGAUGAUAAUGACAGUAUCGGAAGAAUAAGCCCCGGCUAACCUCCGUGCCAGCAGCCGC
RNAcentral lists this ribosomal RNA (447 nucleotides) under uncultured soil bacterium. RNAcentral's name for it is "bacterial SSU rRNA". It matches the Rfam family "Bacterial small subunit ribosomal RNA", at positions 26 to 518 of the family's 1533-position model. The record is from RNAcentral.